This 466-nucleotide ribosomal RNA is filed under the name uncultured bacterium. RNAcentral describes it as "partial 16S ribosomal RNA". It matches the Rfam family "Bacterial small subunit ribosomal RNA", at positions 29 to 506 of the family's 1533-position model. The record is from RNAcentral.
ACGCACGCUGGCGGCGUGCUUAACACAUGCCAGUCGAACGGAAAGGCCCUGCUUUUGUGGGGUGCUCGAGUGGCGAACGGGUGAGUAACACGUGAGUAACCUGCCCUUGACUUUGGGAUAACUUCAGGAAACUGGGGCUAAUACCGGAUAGGAGCUCCUGCUGCAUGGUGGGGGUUGGAAAGUUUCGGCGGUUGGGGAUGGACUCGCGGCUUAUCAGCUUGUUGGUGGGGUAGUGGCUUACCAAGGCUUUGACGGGUAGCCGGCCUGAGAGGGUGACCGGCCACAUUGGGACUGAGAUACGGCCCAGACUCCUACGGGAGGCAGCAGUGGGGAAUAUUGCACAAUGGGCGGAAGCCUGAUGCAGCAACGCCGCGUGCGGGAUGACGGCCUUCGGGUUGUAAACCGCUUUCGCCUGUGACGAAGCGUGAGUGACGGUAAUGGGUAAAGAAGCACCGGCUAACUACGU